UUUCCGUAGGUGAACCUGCGGAAGGAUCAUUCAUAAUAAGUGUUUUAUGGCACUUUUUAAAUCCAUAUCCACCUUGUGUGCGAUGUCAUGGUUGAUUUUUCUCUCGAGAGGAUCAGCCCCAAACAUCAACUAUAUCUCAACUCUUUGUCUGAAAAAUAUUAUGAAUAAAACAAUUCAAAAUACAACUUUCAACAACGGAUCUCUUGGCUCUC
This 212-nucleotide unclassified non-coding RNA is filed under the name plant metagenome. RNAcentral's name for it is "partial contains small subunit ribosomal RNA, internal transcribed spacer 1, and 5.8S ribosomal RNA". The record is from RNAcentral.